AUACGGAGGGUGCAAGCGUUAAUCGGAAUUACUGGGCGUAAAGAGUACGUAGGUGGUUUAUUAAGUCAGAUGUGAAAGCCCCGGGCUUAACCUGGGAACUGCAUUUGAAACUGGCAAACUAGAGUAUGGUAGAGGUGGGUAGAAUUCAUAGUGUAGCGGUGAAAUGCGUAGAUAUUAUGAGGAAUACCAGUGGCGAAGGCGGCCCGCUGGACCAAUACUGACACUGAGGUACGAAAGCGUGGGGAGCGAACAGGAUUAGAAACCCUAGUAGUCC
Molecule: ribosomal RNA, 274 nt
Filed under: uncultured bacterium
Lineage: Bacteria
Description: partial 16S ribosomal RNA
Rfam family: Bacterial small subunit ribosomal RNA
Source: RNAcentral